Molecule: ribosomal RNA, 253 nt
Filed under: uncultured bacterium
Lineage: Bacteria
Description: partial 16S ribosomal RNA
Rfam family: Bacterial small subunit ribosomal RNA
Source: RNAcentral
UACGGGGGGGGCAAGCGUUGUUCGGAAUUACUGGGCGUAAAGGGCUCGUAGGUGGCCAACUAAGUCAGACGUGAAAUCCCUCGGCUUAACCGGGGAACUGCGUCUGAUACUGGAUGGCUUGAGUUUGGGAGAGGGAUGCGGAAUUCCAGGUGUAGCGGUGAAAUGCGUAGAUAUCGUGAGGAACACCAGAGGCGAAGGCGGCUACCUGGACAAUUGCUGACGCUCAGGCACGAAAGCGUGGGGAGCAAAAGGG